CAUGUCCUUAAUUUUGGCCAUGUUUUGAAUUUUACCUUUGAAAAUUGCUAUCAAAUAGAACUUUUCACAAUUAUGAGUAGCUCAGGUAGCAGACUUCAAGGACGUAAGUUUCACUGCUAUAAAGAACAACAAGUGCUGGUGUUUCUCAGCUUGGCAGUGGUCUCAUGCAGUCUGCUGGGGCUUAAAAGUUUCCUUCCUGGUCACCAUUUGGGGGGGUGAUGGCUUCAAACCAAAGCCUUACUUAAUGUAUGUUACUUUUCCUCAUCUUAACAGUCUAGUAAGAUAUAAACUUGUCAGAGCAUCUGUGAUCCCUAUGUAGAUUCUUAAAGGGUCCUGACGUCAUGUUAAGCCAACCACAGGCCUCAAUUCAUACAGGCUCAAACUCCUUCCCCCUAACAGCUGGGACCUCCCUGAUUAGAGCUCAUAAGAAGAUGGUGCUUUUCUUUAACAUAUAAAAAGCCUAAUUCUCUUAACGGCUUUCUUAGGUUUAUGCCAGCAGGUCAAGAAGGACCAUUUUAUUCUAUUUACGUUUAGUGAACAGACUGCUAGAGAUAACGCCUAACUUACAAUUAGGCCACUGUGGUAUAUUUAUACUGACCCUCCUUCCCAAUUCUUACCCUUUAAUCCCAUACCAGUUCCAGAGGAGACUUGGCACAAAAAAGGAGUAUGUGUAUUUUUAAACACCUAGUAGAGCAAAUCGACCAGAAAAAAUCGCCAAGGGGAGCCUGUCUGUAUGUCCACACCUUUCUAAGCCUACAUCAUUCUUUCCAUGCCAGUUCCUUACAUACUUCAUUUCCAAAGAACCCCAAGCUCCUGGACAGUGGCACUACCCUGAAUUUCAGGGUCAGAAAAUCUCUCUUUACUUAUGAAGGAAGCAGCUUCCGCAAGCAGUGUUGCUUCAGAGCCCACUGUCCAGGCUUCCUCACACCUUGCCUCCAUCUGCACAUUACUGCCCUCAAAUCCCACUGUAUUAUAGCAACAAUGCCUCCCUGGUGCCUGGAAAACCCACCUGGUGCACCAAAAUGCUAUGCAACACCAAAUGGCUUCUUCCCAUAGUACUGCUCAAAAUGGAAAUUCCUCAAGAAUAAGCUAUUACCUGUGCUAACAUCACUGUAUGGUGGCUACAGUUUUCAUUUCUAUUUUUCUUUUACUAUGAAGCAAACCAUCUG
This is a long non-coding RNA of Bos taurus (domestic cattle), 1169 nucleotides long. Lineage: Eukaryota; Metazoa; Chordata; Mammalia; Artiodactyla; Bovidae. The record is from Ensembl.